AUUCGAUUAGAGUUUGAUCAUGGCUCAGAACGUACGCUGCGCGGCACGCCUAACACAUGCAAGUCGAACGAAGUAGCAAUACCCCCUGGCAGACGGGUGAGUAACAUGUAGGUAUCUGCCCUUUGGCCUGGAAUAACACGAGGAAACUUGUGCUAAUACCGGAUAAGUCUUUACGGAGAAAGCUUUAUGCACCAAUGGAUGAGCCUGCACUUGAUUAGUUUGUUGGUAGGGUAAUGGCCUACCAAGACUGUGAUCAAUAGCUGAUUUGAGAGGAUGAUCAGCCACAUUGGGACUGAGACACGGCCCAAACUCCUACGGGAGGCAGCAGUGGGGAAUCUUGCACAAUGGAGGAAACUCUGAUGCAGCGAUGCCGCAUGAGUGAAGAAGGCCUUUGGGUUGUAAAGCUCUUUCGUCGGGGAAGAAAAUGACUGUACCCGAAUAAGAAGGUCCGGCUAACUUCGUGCCAGCAGCCGCGGUAAUACGAAGGGACCUAGCGUAGUUCGGAAUUACUGGGCUUAAAGAGUUCGUAGGUUGUUAAAAAAGUUGGUGGUGAAAUCCCAGAGCUUAACUCUGGAACUGCCAUCAAAACUUUUUAGCUAGAGUAUGAUAGAGGAAAGCAGAAUUUCUAGUGUAGAGGUGAAAUUCGUAGAUAUUAGAAAGAAUACCAAUUGCGAAGGCAGCUUUCUGGAUCAUUACUGACACUGAGGAACGAAAGCAUGGGUAGCGAAGAGGAUUAGAUACCCUCGUAGUCCAUGCCGUAAACGAUGUGUGUUAGACGUUGGAAAUUUAUUUUCAGUGUCGCAGCGAAAGCAAUAAACACACCGCCUGGGGAGUACGACCGCAAGGUUAAAACUCAAAUGAAUUGACGGGGACCCGCACAAGUAGUGGAGCAUGUGGUUUAAUUCGAAGAUACGCGCAGAACCUUACCAACACUUGGCAUGUUCGUCGCGACUUUAAGAGAUUAAAGUUUUCGGUUCGGCCGGACGAAACACAGGUGCUGCAUGGCUGUCGUCAGCUCGUGUCGUGAGAUGUUGGGUUAAGUCCCGCAACGAGCGCAACCCUCAUUUUUAGUUGCCAUCAUUAAGUUGGGCACUCUGAAAGAACUGCCAGUGAUAAGCUGGAGGAAGGUGGGGAUGACGUCAAGUCCUCAUGGCCCUUACGUGUUGGGCUACACACGUGCUACAAUGAUAUUUACAACAGGAAGCAAAACGGCGACGUUAAGCAAAUCCUUAAAAAAUAUCUCAGUUCGGAUUGCACUCUGCAACUCGAGUGCAUGAAGCUGGAAUUACUAGUAAUCGUGGAUCAGCGUGCCACGGUGAAUGCGUUCCCUGGGUCUUGUAGAC
Molecule: ribosomal RNA, 1343 nt
Filed under: uncultured bacterium
Lineage: Bacteria
Description: bacterial SSU rRNA
Rfam family: Bacterial small subunit ribosomal RNA
Source: RNAcentral